GGAAGUUAUGAUGUGUUAGUAAAAGUGUGUCGGUGUGUGUGAUAGUGGUUCCAGAGGCCAUGUGGGCACCUCGUCGUCAUUCUGGAUGCAGUGCAUCAUGGACCUGACCAGCGCCGCCCAUGUGCCACGCCCACCGCUCUGACGCCCAGGCUUCGGCAAAUUUGCAUUAAACCCGCCAAGUGAGCUGAGUGGAUGAGUUGGACUGGCAUGUGGCUGUGGAGGCGGAUGAGGUUGGGGAUGAGGAUGAGGAUGCGGAUGCGGAUGAGGAUGCGGAUGCCAUCAGUUUUCCACAGAACGGGAUGAAGGGGACGGGCAGGUGGAGAUUGGAAUAAAGUGCAGCGAUGCCAGAGGCAAACAGCGCGGAACCGAGCGCCCAUAAAGGGAGCUGGAUCUGGAGAGGAUUCCGCACAUAUGCACAUAUAGGGGCUGGGACUGGAGUGAUGUGGAGUGGAGUGGAGUGGAGGGGACGACGAGGAGCAGGAGAGGCCCGGUGACAAGGCGACAGUCCGAUCCCAAACUCCCGCAUCACGUUCUUGACCAGGUGGCAACGCUGCACGUUAGGUGGCGCAACGGAAACGGAAAAGCCUUGCCUCGCCAGCAACCUUUAACUCGCCACGCACGCAACACACGCGCGAUUAGCAGCAAUUUGUACAGCAAUUAAGCUCAAGUGCAAUAAAAGUUAUUUGCACCGCAAAGUGCAGCGGGGAAAAAAGAGGAAAGGGGUGUAAUGUAAUGGCAGUAGUAAUGUUGGCGAAUGCUGUUGCAGCGAGUACAACGGCGAUGACAACAGUAAGUCGGGCAGUAAACGGCAGGAGCUAAAAGUUAUGCACUUUUUUAAGUGAAUAUGAUUGCAUUCUAAUGUCAGGCCAUAAAUUAGCGACUUGGACUCCAGACUACGGACUCCGGACUCCGGACUCCAUGGCAUGACCUGAGCUCAGCACGCGACCCACGCCGCUGACAGCCUCGCUAUCCACACAAUUCACCCACUGAGCACCACUGAGCACCACCCAGCACCACCAGCCCGUGUCCUUCCCCCCUCCCCUCCCCCCGAGGACCGCCGAACCCCACUGCGCGUUACGUGACAGGAGUAUGCGAAACUUUUCAGCUUGAACGAAAAUUUAUAUGCUGAAAAAUAUAGCGAGCGAAGCCAGUGCACACACCGCAGAAAAAAAAAAAAAGAAAUCAAGAAAAUAAAAUGGUGAGAGGCGUAAAAGAGUUUGCCACACAUAAAAUACCCAGCACUGCGAUUCCUUUUUUGUUUACGAUCUGCCAUUAAACUAUGGAAUGGCUUCAUUUGAUUUUGAAACAGAUAUUGCUGCAGAAAAUCGUCAAAAGAUUGCACAAAAUGACAAUAGUAACGAAAUGCACUGCAAUUGAAAGGGUGUGUAUUUUAUAGCUAUAUUCUCUAAAUAAAAAUUUAGGUUUUGGAUAAAACAACUUUGCACUGGCAUAUAUUCAAAUAAAUAAGGUGUCAAGUUCUGUUUCGUCACAGACCAAGAGUCAAUUUGUUUAUGAAAGCCAAUAGAAUUACCAUCCCAAAAGUUAAGAACAUAGCUGCUGCAGAUCCGAAGAUCACAUAGACUAGAUACUGCUGCAUAUGCCCCAGCACACCCUAUGGUAUCAUAUGAAAAAGAAAGGGGUAGAAAUGUGCGAAAAAUUCGCAGAGCAUGACUGGGCUGAAAAGUGGGUGGUGCAAGUGGUGCGAGGUGGUGCUUACCCCGCGAGUGCGACUGGGUGUGAUGAAGUAAGAGGUUCGCAAGUGGGGAGGCGACAUUUUGUGCGGUUUCGCGUGCCACUGGAAAGUUGAACGUGCUGGGCUAAUGCUGCUGCUGCUGCUGAUGCCAUGAUGCCAUGAUGCCAUAGCUCCGGCUGUAGCUUCUGUUCCGACUCCUGCUCCUCCAGCGCAUCUGGCACUGCCAAGGCCAAGGGGGCGAUGUGUGAUGUGGGCGUGGCACAUGCACUCGCAUGCCGCCGCUGAAGAUGAAAAACUGCUGCGGAUUACGUGGUGCCCCAAUAUCAUGGAACGGGCCAAAUAUGUCGGUGGGCGUGGCAAUUAAAAUCGCCCUGCAAGCUAUUCACAAACUGAACCGGAAUAUAAUGCCAGCGAGUUGAUAUGCCACGCAGUUGGACCGCAUGAACAUCGGUUUUGGAUUGGGGCCCCUGGGGGGCCACGCCCUCUGGACUUUUGCAACUGCAAAUGAACCUUUCAACUCACUGCCAACAGUGUUGCCAACUAUGGGCUAAGCCCAAAAAAAAAGAAAAAAUGAAGGAUGAAAACAACGAGGUCCUGGCUUAAAAAUAUCCGCAAUUGCUGGGGAUUAUUUUUAAGUAGGCCUCGAUUACAACAGUAGUUGUCGCACCUAUGUGAACUUUCAAUUCAAAUCGUCCUGUAAAUUUCAAUGGAUUAAGACUUUAAGUAAUUUACAUACAAGUAGUUGUGCUAGU
Long non-coding RNA from Drosophila santomea, 2445 nucleotides. RefSeq lists it as uncharacterized. The transcript is spliced from 5 exons. The record is from RefSeq and is a predicted model, not a curated record. Lineage: Eukaryota; Metazoa; Arthropoda; Insecta; Diptera; Drosophilidae.